GCCAGAAUGGUGUAGAGGUUUGAGCAUUGAACUAUUGACUCUGGAGACCAGGGUUCAAAUCCCUGCUCAGCCA
Non-coding RNA from Phrynosoma platyrhinos (Desert horned lizard), 73 nucleotides. NCBI's taxonomy places the organism in Eukaryota, Metazoa, Chordata, Lepidosauria, Squamata, Phrynosomatidae. The record is from the annotation of a GenBank genome assembly.